UUUUUGGCGCGUCUAUACAUGCAGUCGAGCGAGCUGAAUUCAAAGAUCCCUUCGGGUGAUUUGUUGGACGCUAGCGGCGGAUGGGUGAGUAACACGUGGGCAAUCUGCCCUAAAGACUGGGAUACCACUUGGAAACAGGUGCUAAUACCGGAUAACAACAUGAAUCGCAUGAUUCAAGUUUGAAAGGCGGCGCAAGCUGUCACUUUAGGAUGAGCCCGCGGCGCAUUAGCUAGUUGGUGGGGUAAAGGCCUACCAAGGCAAUGAUGCGUAGCCGAGUUGAGAGACUGAUCGGCCACAUUGGGACUGAGACACGGCCCAAACUCCUACGGGAGGCAGCAGUAGGGAAUCUUCCACAAUGGACGUAAGUCUGAUGGAGCAACGCCGCGUGAGUGAAGAAGGUCUUCGGAUCGUAAAGCUCUGUUGUUGGUGAAGAAGGAUAGAGGCAGUAACUGGUCUUUAUUUGACGGUAAUCAACCAGAAAGUCACGGAUAACUACGUGCCAUCAGCCGCGGUAAUACGUACGUGGCAAGCGUUGUCCGGAUUUAUUGGGCGUAAAGCGAGCGCAGGCGGAAUGAUAAGUCUGAUGUGAAAGCCCACGGCUCAACCGUGGAACUGCAUCGGAAACUGUCAUUCUUGAGUGCAGAAGAGGAGAGUGGAACUCCAUGUGUAGCGGUGGAAUGCGUAGAUAUAUGGAAGAACACCAGUGGCGAAGGCGGCUCUCUGGUCUGCAACUGACGCUGAGGCUCGAAAGCAUGGGUAGCGAACAGGAUUAGAUACCCUGGUAGUCCAUGCCGUAAACGAUGAGCGCUAGGUGUUGGGGACUUUCCGGUCCUCAGUGCCGCAGCAAACGCAUUAAGCGCUCCGCCUGGGGAGUACGACCGCAAGGUUGAACUCAAAGGAAUUGACGGGGGCCCGCACAAGCGGUGGAGCAUGUGGUUUAUUUCGAAGCAUCGCGAAGAACCUACCAAGUCUUGACAUCCUGCGCUACCCCUAGAGAUAGGUGUUCCCUUCGUGGACGCAGAGACAGGUGUGCAUGGCUUGUCGUCAGCUUCGUGUCGUGAGAAGUUGGGUUAAUUCCCGCAACGAGCGCAACCCCUUGCUCUUUAGUUGGC
This 1112-nucleotide ribosomal RNA is filed under the name Lactobacillus acidophilus. RNAcentral describes it as "bacterial SSU rRNA". It matches the Rfam family "Bacterial small subunit ribosomal RNA", at positions 36 to 1119 of the family's 1533-position model. Lineage: Bacteria; Bacillati; Bacillota; Bacilli; Lactobacillales; Lactobacillaceae. The record is from RNAcentral.